This 464-nucleotide ribosomal RNA is filed under the name uncultured bacterium. RNAcentral's name for it is "partial 16S ribosomal RNA". It matches the Rfam family "Bacterial small subunit ribosomal RNA", at positions 29 to 507 of the family's 1533-position model. The record is from RNAcentral.
ACGAACGCUGGCGGCGUGCUUAACACAUGCAAGUCGAACGGAAAGGCCCCUUUGGGGGUACUCGAGUGGCGAACGGGUGAGUAACACGUGAGUAACCUGCCCUUGACUUCGGGAUAACUUCAGGAAACUGGGGCUAAUACCGGAUAGGAAUCCUUGCUGCAUGGUGGGGGUUGGAAAGCUUCGGCGGUUUUGGAUGGACUCGCGGCUUAUCAGCUUGUUGGUGGGGUAGUGGCUUACCAAGGCUUUGACGGGUAGCCGGCCUGAGAGGGCGACCGGCCACAUUGGGACUGAGAUACGGCCCAGACUCCUACGGGAGGCAGCAGUGGGGAAGAUUGCACAAUGGGCGGAAGCCUGAUGCAGCAACGCCGCGUGGGGGAUGACGGCCUUCGGGUUGUAAACCGCUUUCAGCAGGGGCGAAGCUUGUGGUGACGGUACCUGCAGAAGAAGCACCGGCUAACUACGUG